Molecule: transfer RNA, 68 nt
Filed under: Kemneritermes sarawakensis
Lineage: Eukaryota; Metazoa; Arthropoda; Insecta; Blattodea; Termitidae
Description: tRNA-Phe
Source: RNAcentral
ACUUAAAUAGCUUAUAGAUUAGAGCGUGACACUGAAGAUGUCGAUGAGGUAUUUAUUACCUUUGAGUA